RNAcentral lists this ribosomal RNA (254 nucleotides) under uncultured bacterium. RNAcentral's name for it is "partial 16S ribosomal RNA". It matches the Rfam family "Bacterial small subunit ribosomal RNA", at positions 524 to 776 of the family's 1533-position model. The record is from RNAcentral.
UACAGAGGUCCCAAGCGUUGUUCGGAUUCAUUGGGCGUAAAGGGCGCGUAGGCGGCGGCUUGAGUCCCUGCGUGAAAUCUCCCGGCUCAACCGGGAGGGUGCGCGGGAUACUGGGCGGCUUGAGGACAUCAGAGGAGAGCGGAAUCCCCGGUGUAGUGGUGAAAUGCGUAGAUAUCGGGGGGAACACCAGUGGCGAAGGCGGCUCUCUGGGGUGCACCUGACGCUGAUGCGCGAAAGCGUGGGGAGCGAACCGG